Molecule: long non-coding RNA, 646 nt
Filed under: Piliocolobus tephrosceles (Ugandan red Colobus)
Lineage: Eukaryota; Metazoa; Chordata; Mammalia; Primates; Cercopithecidae
Description: lncRNA (ENSPTEG00000012754.1)
Source: RNAcentral
CAUAUAUAUAUAUAUAUAUAUAUAUAUUUACAUAUAUACCAUUUUUCAGAUUUUAAUACAUUAUAAACUAGUGAUAGUUUCCAUUGGAUUAUACGCAAUCAUUGUAUUGUAUAUGCUUAUAUGUGCCUUCUCUGGAUUUACUUACUGUUGCUCAAAGUUACAACUUGGACUUGUUUUUACACUAGAUAAAGAAGAUACAUUUCUUCAUUCCCUACUUUUGAACGUGUGUUUAUUUUGUCUCAUUUCUACUGGCACUGGAUUGUUCACUUCGAAAAUGUUUUAUAAUUAUACAAACAAAUCCCACGCAUUAAGUUUUUACAAUAUGUGUCUGAAGAAGUUUAAUUAUAUUGGCCAAAUAUACGAAAAUAACGGUUUUUCAUAUUUAACCAUAGCAUUGAGCUUGUUAACACUCAUUAUAUACAUACUGCCAAGGAAAAGUCAUUGUUUAUAUUUUUCUGAACACGCUAAAAUUUUAAAAAGCAUCGAGCUCGAAGAAGAAAAAGAAGAAGAAAAAGAAGAAGAACAACGACAGCCAAAGAAAAUAAAAACAGAAAAAGAACAGAAAAUUGAUUAUGACUACUUAGAGAAUAAUAUUGGUCUGAAUAAUAUAAAUACUAAUACAUCACCAUUUAAAAACAACAACUGA